RNAcentral lists this ribosomal RNA (484 nucleotides) under uncultured bacterium. RNAcentral's name for it is "partial 16S ribosomal RNA". It matches the Rfam family "Bacterial small subunit ribosomal RNA", at positions 30 to 507 of the family's 1533-position model. The record is from RNAcentral.
AUUGAACGCUGGCGGCAUGCCUAACACAUGCAAGUCGAGCGGAUGAAGGGAGCUUUCUCCUGGAUUCAGCGGCGGACGGGUGAGUAAUGCCUAGGAAUCUGCCUGGCAUUGGGGUAUAACGUCCUGAAACGGGCGCUAAUACCGCAUACGUCCUGAGGGAGAAAGUGGGGGAUCGUCGGACCUCACGCUAUCAGAUGAGCCUAGGUCGGAUUAGCUAGUUGGUGGGGUAAAGGCCUACCAAGGCGACGAUCCGUAACUGGUCUGAGAGGAUGAUCAGUCACACUGGAACUGAGACACGGUCCAGACUCCUACGGGAGGCAGCAGUGGGGAAUAUUGGACAAUGGGCGAAAGCCUGAUCCAGCCAUGCCGCGUGUGUGAAGAAGGUCUUCGGAUUGUAAAGCACUUUAAGUUGGGAGGAAGGGCAGUAAGUUAAUACCUUGCUGUUUUGACGUUACCAACAGAAUAAGCACCGGCUAACUUCGUG